GCAUUUAAACAGCGGUCCCCGUAGGAUCAUCGAAGUUAAACAACGUCGUGCCUGGUCAGUAUAUAGAUGGGCGACCGCUUGGGAAUACGACGUAUUGUAA
This is a non-coding RNA of Acanthosepion pharaonis, 100 nucleotides long. The record is from the annotation of a GenBank genome assembly. Lineage: Eukaryota; Metazoa; Mollusca; Cephalopoda; Sepiida; Sepiidae.